UACGUAGGGUGCAAGCGUUAUCCGGAAUUAUUGGGCGUAAAGAGCUCGUAGGCGGUUUGUCGCGUCUGCCGUGAAAGCCGGGGCUCAACGUCCGGAUCUGCGGUGGGUACGGGCAGACUAGAGUGAUGUAGGGGAGACUGGAAUUCCUGGUGUAGCGGUGAAAUGCGCAGAUAUCAGGAGGAACACCGAGUGGCGAAGGCAGGUCUCUGGGCAUUAACUGACGCUGAGGAGCGAAAGCAUGGGGAGCGAACAGG
This 254-nucleotide ribosomal RNA is filed under the name uncultured bacterium. RNAcentral describes it as "partial 16S ribosomal RNA". It matches the Rfam family "Bacterial small subunit ribosomal RNA", at positions 524 to 776 of the family's 1533-position model. The record is from RNAcentral.